AUUUGUGUCACCUUUCUGGAUCUGUCUCAGUCUCCUCUGUCUCUAGGUGUCUGUGUAUCUUGUGUGUGUGUGAAUAUUUCCAACUCCCUCAAUCUACCUUUUCCCCUCUCUUGUCUCCCUCUCAGGGCAGGGUGCCAUUUGCCGUGCCUGACAAAGUGCUGUGGCCGCAGCUGUGUGAGGCGCUCAACAUGAAAUUCAAGGCCGAAGUGCAGAGCAACCGGGGCCUGACCAAGGAGAACCUCGUGUUCCUAGCACAGAAACUGUUCAACAACAGCAGCAGCCACCUGGAGGACUACAGUGGCCUGUCCGUGUCCUGGUCCCAGUUCAACAGGGAGAACUUGCCGGGCUGGAACUACACCUUCUGGCAGUGGUUUGACGGGGUGAUGGAGGUGUUGAAGAAGCACCACAAGCCCCACUGGAAUGAUGGGGCCAUCCUAGGUUUUGUGAAUAAGCAACAGGCCCACGACCUGCUCAUCAACAAGCCCGAUGGGACCUUCUUGUUGCGCUUUAGUGACUCAGAAAUCGGGGGCAUCACCAUCGCCUGGAAGUUUGACUCCCCGGAACGCAACCUGUGGAACCUGAAACCAUUCACCACGCGGGAUUUCUCCAUCAGGUCCCUGGCUGACCGGCUGGGGGACCUGAGCUAUCUCAUCUAUGUGUUUCCUGACCGCCCCAAGGAUGAGGUCUUCUCCAAGUACUACACUCCUGUGCUGGGUGGGUACUGCCCCAGGACCCUGCCGGCUGACUCCCCCGGGCUCUUCCCCAACCCAUAGACAGAGCCUUGGGCUGCACCGUGGGGACUUCCCCAGGAGGAGCCUAGGGGCCAUGUCCCCUGUGGGUUUUGGCCCAUGGGGUGGUGGAGAGGAUUUCAGGGCUCACAAAUGAGGAGAGGGAACGAGAAACCCCUCCCAGCUCUCUUCUCUGCAAAGUGAAAGCUGCAUGGAUUCUCACUUCUGCACCCUCGGAGGAAGGGGUGGCAGCACUGUAGGGAGUGGCCGGGAUCAUUCGAGCCCACAGAUAGUGCUCCGCUCACCACCUCACCAGCUGCUCUCUCUACACCCUGCUCACAAACCUUCCCCCGAGUGGAGUGCAGGCAGCAAAAGGGAGAAGUCUCUCUUCUUCCAGCUGCCCCAAAUCCAUUG
RNAcentral lists this small RNA (1142 nucleotides) under Pan troglodytes (chimpanzee). RNAcentral describes it as "retained intron". The record is from RNAcentral. Lineage: Eukaryota; Metazoa; Chordata; Mammalia; Primates; Hominidae.